GGCGGGGAAUACGAUGACGAGAAUUACGAAGCCUAUGAAGACGACUACAGCAGUCAGUCGAAGAGCCUUUCAGAGUAUUAUGAAUAUGGACACGGAACAAGUGAUGAAUCCUACAACAACUAUGAGGAAGAAUGGACAAGCACCCGACCCGGUCUCAAAGCUCCGACUUUACGGCUGACAAGAGGGGGCUUCAGAAAACACCCUUAUGGUAGAUACUGAAGGUAAUGAAACACACCGCAGUGUGUUGUCCCAAAGCAGAGGAA
Nematolebias whitei (Rio pearlfish) is the source of this 263-nucleotide long non-coding RNA. RefSeq lists it as uncharacterized. Lineage: Eukaryota; Metazoa; Chordata; Actinopteri; Cyprinodontiformes; Rivulidae. The transcript has 4 exons. The record is from RefSeq and is a predicted model, not a curated record.